Molecule: long non-coding RNA, 265 nt
Organism: Etheostoma cragini (Arkansas darter)
Lineage: Eukaryota; Metazoa; Chordata; Actinopteri; Perciformes; Percidae
Exons: 2
Source: RefSeq, a predicted model, not a curated record
GGGGGGGCUGUGCAGCAGCGGGCUGCAGGACAGACUGCUGAGGACCAUGGCCGCCAUCAGCUCGUCCAUCUCCACCUCCCCCGGGCUGCGACGUUAGUCUGACCUUCUGGGGACGUCGAUGCAGGAGGAGACAGAUCUGUUGCUGGACGGGGACACGGAGGACGGACCAGAUGAAGACCAGACAGAAACGUUGCUGGGCAGAUCCCACGCGCCUGCAGACUCACUUCCUGCCCCCCCGCAAUGAAAAAAACCCUGACAGAGACAG